This 1537-nucleotide ribosomal RNA is filed under the name Staphylococcus aureus. RNAcentral's name for it is "partial 23S ribosomal RNA". It matches the Rfam family "Bacterial large subunit ribosomal RNA", at positions 208 to 1745 of the family's 2925-position model. The record is from RNAcentral. Lineage: Bacteria; Bacillati; Bacillota; Bacilli; Caryophanales; Staphylococcaceae.
ACCCGGAGGAAGAGAAAGAAAAUUCGAUUCCCUUAGUAGCGGCGAGCGAAACGGGAAGAGCCCAAACCAACAAGCUUGCUUGUUGGGGUUGUAGGACACUCUAUACGGAGUUACAAAAGACGACAUUAGACGAAUCAUCUGGAAAGAUGAAUCAAAGAAGGUAAUAAUCCUGUAGUCGAAAAUGUUGUCUCUCUUGAGUGGAUCCUGAGUACGACGGAGCACGUGAAAUUCCGUCGGAAUCUGGGAGGACCAUCUCCUAAGGCUAAAUACUCUCUAGUGACCGAUAGUGAACCAGUACCGUGAGGGAAAGGUGAAAAGCACCCCGGAAGGGGAGUGAAAUAGAACCUGAAACCGUGUGCUUACAAGUAGUCAGAGCCCGUUAAUGGGUGAUGGCGUGCCUUUUGUAGAAUGAACCGGCGAGUUACGAUUUGAUGCAAGGUUAAGCAGUAAAUGUGGAGCCGUAGCGAAAGCGAGUCUGAAUAGGGCGUUUAGUAUUUGGUCGUAGACCCGAAACCAGGUGAUCUACCCUUGGUCAGGUUGAAGUUCAGGUAACACUGAAUGGAGGACCGAACCGACUUACGUUGAAAAGUGAGCGGAUGAACUGAGGGUAGCGGAGAAAUUCCAAUCGAACCUGGAGAUAGCUGGUUCUCUCCGAAAUAGCUUUAGGGCUAGCCUCAAGUGAUGAUUAUUGGAGGUAGAGCACUGUUUGGACGAGGGGCCCCUCUCGGGUUACCGAAUUCAGACAAACUCCGAAUGCCAAUUAAUUUAACUUGGGAGUCAGAACAUGGGUGAUAAGGUCCGUGUUCGAAAGGGAAACAGCCCAGACCACCAGCUAAGGUCCCAAAAUAUAUGUUAAGUGGAAAAGGAUGUGGCGUUGCCCAGACAACUAGGAUGUUGGCUUAGAAGCAGCCAUCAUUUAAAGAGUGCGUAAUAGCUCACUAGUCGAGUGACACUGCGCCGAAAAUGUACCGGGGCUAAACAUAUUACCGAAGCUGUGGAUUGUCCUUUGGACAAUGGUAGGAGAGCGUUCUAAGGGCGUUGAAGCAUGAUCGUAAGGACAUGUGGAGCGCUUAGAAGUGAGAAUGCCGGUGUGAGUAGCGAAAGACGGGUGAGAAUCCCGUCCACCGAUUGACUAAGGUUUCCAGAGGAAGGCUCGUCCGCUCUGGGUUAGUCGGGUCCUAAGCUGAGGCCGACAGGCGUAGGCGAUGGAUAACAGGUUGAUAUUCCUGUACCACCUAUAAUCGUUUUAAUCGAUGGGGGGACGCAGUAGGAUAGGCGAAGCGUGCGAUUGGAUUGCACGUCUAAGCAGUAAGGCUGAGUAUUAGGCAAAUCCGGUACUCAUUAAGGCUGAGCUGUGAUGGGGAGAAGACAUUGUGUCUUCGAGUCGUUGAUUUCACACUGCCGAGAAAAGCCUCUAGAUAGAAAAUAGGUGCCCGUACCGCAAACCGACACAGGUAGUCAAGAUGAGAAUUCUAAGGUGAGCGAGCGAACUCUCGUUAAGGAACUCGGCAAAAUGACCCCGUAACUUCGGGAGAAG